Molecule: non-coding RNA, 113 nt
Filed under: Corynebacterium sp.
Lineage: Bacteria; Bacillati; Actinomycetota; Actinomycetes; Mycobacteriales; Corynebacteriaceae
Also listed under: 1 other name
Description: TPP sequence
Rfam family: TPP riboswitch aptamer (THI element)
About the family: Vitamin B(1) in its active form thiamin pyrophosphate (TPP) is an essential coenzyme that is synthesised by coupling of pyrimidine and thiazole moieties in bacteria. The previously detected thiamin-regulatory element, thi box was extended, resulting in a new, highly conserved RNA secondary structure, the THI element, which is widely distributed in eubacteria and also occurs in some archaea. Analysis of operon structures identified a large number of new candidate thiamin-regulated genes, mostly transporters, in various prokaryotic organisms.
Source: RNAcentral
CGCACCACACACGGGUGCCCUGCUGGUACAGGGCUGAGAUCACGCUAAUACCGCGUGAGCACCGUUCGAACCUGUUGGUUAGUACCAACGUAGGAAGGAGGUGGGCACUGUGG